Molecule: ribosomal RNA, 795 nt
Filed under: Pleosporales sp. DZGS01
Lineage: Eukaryota; Fungi; Ascomycota; Dothideomycetes; Pleosporales
Description: eukaryotic LSU rRNA
Rfam family: Eukaryotic small subunit ribosomal RNA (bases 1-258)
Source: RNAcentral
AUAGAGCAUUGCAAUUAUUGCUCUUCAACGAGGAAUGCCUAGUAAGCGCGUGUCAUCAGCACGCGUUGAUUACGUCCCUGCCCUUUGUACACACCGCCCGUCGCUACUACCGAUUGAAUGGCUCAGUGAGGCCUUCGGACUGGCUCGAGGAGGUUGGCAACGACCACCUCAAGCCGGAAAGUUGGUCAAACUCGGUCAUUUAGAGGAAGUAAAAGUCGUAACAAGGUUUCCGUAGGUGAACCUGCGGAAGGAUCAUUAUCUAUUCCAUGAGGUGCGGUCGCGGCCCUCGGCGGGAGCAACAGCUGCCGUCGGGCGGUAGAGGUAACACUUUCACGCGCCGCAUGUCUGAAUCCUUUUUUUACGAGCACCUUUCGUUCUCCUUCGGCGGGGCAACCUGCCGUUGGAACCUAUCAAAACCUUUUUUUUGCAUCUAGCAUUACCUGUUCUGAUACAAACAAUCGUUACAACUUUCAACAAUGGAUCUCUUGGCUCUGGCAUCGAUGAAGAACGCAGCGAAAUGCGAUAAGUAGUGUGAAUUGCAGAAUUCAGUGAAUCAUCGAAUCUUUGAACGCACAUUGCGCCCCUUGGUAUUCCAUGGGGCAUGCCUGUUCGAGCGUCAUCUACACCCUCAAGCUCUGCUUGGUGUUGGGCGUCUGUCCCGCCUCUGCGCGCGGACUCGCCCCAAAUUCAUUGGCAGCGGUCCUUGCCUCCUCUCGCGCAGCACAUUGCGCUUCUCGAGGGGCGCGGCCCGCGUCCACGAAGCAACAUUACCGUCUUGACCUCGGAUCAGGUAUG